This 201-nucleotide long non-coding RNA is filed under the name Lathyrus oleraceus (garden pea). RNAcentral describes it as "Pisum sativum (pea) long non-coding RNA (PSAT_LNC018893)". The record is from RNAcentral. Lineage: Eukaryota; Viridiplantae; Streptophyta; Magnoliopsida; Fabales; Fabaceae.
UUUCAUUCAUUUUAUUUGCAUACAUUGUAUAUUUCAUCAUUCCAUCUUCAUUUACAAUAAUUAAGUCAAAGGCUUUUUAAUGAUGAUGGUUUGCUUAAUCAGGAAGUACUUUGAAUUUGGAUAAUUGAAAGUAAAUAAGUGGUUGACUUUUGGUCAAUAGGGUCGACACAGUUGACCAGACAUUUGACCGCUAUCCUAGAC